UCUGAAAUCUUGGAUCAGGCUCUGGUCAUGUGCAUAUAUUGCGCUAUAUAUGCUAAUAUUGCACUUGACCAUGGCCUCGUCUAGAAAGUAAGACAGUUUCAGA
This 103-nucleotide microRNA precursor is filed under the name Caenorhabditis briggsae. RNAcentral describes it as "microRNA cbr-mir-235b precursor". Its record names the gene cbr-mir-235b. The stretch from base 13 to 81 matches the Rfam family "mir-235 microRNA precursor family". Lineage: Eukaryota; Metazoa; Nematoda; Chromadorea; Rhabditida; Rhabditidae. The record is from miRBase by way of RNAcentral.